AGUGAACGCUGGCGGUAGGCCUAACACAUGCAAGUCGAACGGCAGCACAGUAAGAGCUUGCCCUUACGGGUGGCGAGUGGCGGACGGGUGAGGAAUACAUCGGAAUCUACUUUUUCGUGGGGGAUAACGUAGGGAAGCUUACGCUAAUACCGCAUACGACCUACGGGUGAAAGCAGGGGAUCUUCGGACCUUGCGCGAUUGAAUGAGCCGAUGUCGGAUUAGCUAGUUGGCGGGGUAAAGGCCCACCAAGGCGACGAUCCGUAGCUGGUCUGAGAGGAUGAUCAGCCACACUGGAACUGAGACACGGUCCAGACUCCUACGGGAGGCAGCAGUGGGGAAUAUUGGACAAUGGGCGCAAGCCUGAUCCAGCCAUACCGCGUGGGUGAAGAAGGCCUUCGGGUUGUAAAGCCCUUUUGUUGGGAAAGAAAAGCAGCAGGUUAAUACCCCGCUGUUCUGACGGUACCCAAAGAAUAAGCACCGGCUAACUUCGUG
This 492-nucleotide ribosomal RNA is filed under the name uncultured bacterium. RNAcentral describes it as "partial 16S ribosomal RNA". It matches the Rfam family "Bacterial small subunit ribosomal RNA", at positions 29 to 507 of the family's 1533-position model. The record is from RNAcentral.